RNAcentral lists this transfer RNA (70 nucleotides) under Marmota monax (woodchuck). RNAcentral's name for it is "tRNA.Ala". The record is from RNAcentral. Lineage: Eukaryota; Metazoa; Chordata; Mammalia; Rodentia; Sciuridae.
GGGGCUGAGGCUCAGUGGUAGAGCACUCGCCUAGCGUGUGUGAGGCCUGGGUUCGAUCGUCAGCACCACA